Molecule: ribosomal RNA, 357 nt
Filed under: uncultured bacterium
Lineage: Bacteria
Description: bacterial SSU rRNA
Rfam family: Bacterial small subunit ribosomal RNA
Source: RNAcentral
GCUNUAGCGUGCCUAAUACAUGCAAGUCGAGCGGUCCCUUCGUGGGAUAGCGGCGUGACGGGUGAGUAACACGUAGGCAACCUGCCUGUAAGACUGGGAUAACUAUCGGAAACGAUAGCUAAGACCGGAUAGCUGGUUCUCUCGCAUGAGAGGAUCAUGAAACACGGAGUAAUCUGUGGCUUACAGAUGGGCCUGCGGCGCAUUAGCUAGUUGGUAGGGUAACGGCCUACCAAGGCGACGAUGCGUAGCCGACCNCAGAGGGUGAUCUUUUCACACAAGGGACUGAGACACGGCCCAGACUCCUACGGGAGGCAGCAGUAGGGAAUCUUCCGCAAANGGACGCAAGUCUGACGGAGC